GCCGUUACGCGGGGAAGAAGGCGGUGAUAGUGCGAACCUUCGAUGACGGCACGCGCGAGCGCCCCUACGGUCACUGUUUGGUUGCAGGAAUAAAGAAGUAUCCCAGCAAGGUCAUAAAGAAGGACUCGGCCAAGAAGACCGCCAAGAAGUCGCGCGUGAAGGCCUUCAUCAAGCUCGUCAAUUACCAGCACUUGAUGCCCACUCGCUACACGCUCGACGUGGACCUCAAGGACGCCGUCAAUCCCGAUGUCCUCCACGCCAAGGAUAAGAAGGUCACCGCCCUAAAGGAGACCAAGAAGCGCCUUGAGGAACGCUUCAAAACCGGCAAGAACCGGUGGUUCUUUACCAAGCUCAGGUUCUGAGCUAAAUUGUACGUUUUUGUUUUCAACCGUUUUCAUUGGAUCUCGCUUUGUCGUUUUAAUUAUUGCUUUAUAAUGCUAUUUUGAGUUUAGAUUUUCAAACUGUUAUUUAAAUUUUGGCUCAAUUGGAUGUUUAAUGUGCUUGUGGAGAUUAUAAAUGAAGUUUUUAGGGAUUAUAGAUUGAAUGCCUUUGGUUUGAAUGUGAUGAAUUUGCGAUUUGCCUG
This 583-nucleotide long non-coding RNA is filed under the name Vigna radiata. Its description in RNAcentral is "long non-coding RNA (VRAD_LNC003276)". The record is from RNAcentral. Lineage: Eukaryota; Viridiplantae; Streptophyta; Magnoliopsida; Fabales; Fabaceae.